UUUAAACCUAAUGGCUUAUUAAAAAACAGAAAUCGCAAGAGAAACUCGAUGUGUACCGACAACUACAUUAUUUAACCAUAUUUACUGCGUUAGGAUGUUGAUAUAGCAACUGUUCAAGCGUUAAAGGGAGCAGGCUAAGGUCUGAAAUCUGGAGUUUCAACUUCUCUCCAGGAUGCCUGUUUGAUGGGGAAAAGGAAGCCUGAAGAUAAGAGCAGAGUUCUUACACCAGAGCCGCUGCCCGCUGUUUGACUCUGAGACUGAAGCUUUGAAAGGAGAACUGAGGAACACAGGGACACAGGAACUGUUAGUCCUAACUAUUUGGACUAACAGCCUAAAGAGUUGAUAGAUGAGACCCAGAGUUAAACAGGAAGUUGUUUCCAGACCUGCUGUAAUGGUGCGAGUGAUUAUACAAGACAUGCCGUGUGAACCUUCAGCAGAUGUGGAAUUUCUGGAAGUGCGACCCCAUACAUUCCGUCAAUAUGGAAUUAUUCAUUCAUUGGCUGCGUAUUCGUCUGGUGUUUUAGGUUAUCAGGUGUUUUUUUGCUGCUUGUUACUGUAAAAGCCUGUCAAAAGUCGAAAAUAAAGUUUCAGGUUGUCUCCAGCAUGUCCUUAUCAGAAUGGCACGGAAGUAUGAUUCAGGAUGACACACGUGAAUGAAUGAAGUGUACCAACUUCUCGGGGUAAAUCAAGUGUAGCCUGAAGACUGUGUGUCAAAACAGAGGGGUUAAACUCACAGC
Long non-coding RNA from Ctenopharyngodon idella (grass carp), 737 nucleotides. RefSeq lists it as uncharacterized. The record is from RefSeq and is a predicted model, not a curated record. The transcript is spliced from 4 exons. Lineage: Eukaryota; Metazoa; Chordata; Actinopteri; Cypriniformes; Xenocyprididae.